RNAcentral lists this ribosomal RNA (466 nucleotides) under uncultured bacterium. Its description in RNAcentral is "partial 16S ribosomal RNA". It matches the Rfam family "Bacterial small subunit ribosomal RNA", at positions 28 to 507 of the family's 1533-position model. The record is from RNAcentral.
GACGAACGCUGGCGGCGUGCUUAACACAUGCAAGUCGAACGGAAAGGCCUCUUUCUUGCUGUACUCGAGUUGCGAACGGGUGGGUAAGACGUGCGUAACUUGCCCUUCACUUUGGCUUGACUUACUGAAAGUGACGGGAAUACAUAAUAGGUGCUCCUUCUGCACGGUGGGUUUUGGAAAGUUUGGGCGGUUGGGGGUGGACUCGCGGGUUAUCAGCUUUUUGGUGGGGUAGGGGCUUACAAAGGUUUUACGGGUAGCCCGCCUGAGAGGGUGACCGGCGCCAUUGGGCCUUAGAUACGGCACAGACUCCUACGGGAGGCAGCAGUGGGGAAUCUUGCAGAAUGGGUGGAAGCCUGAUGCAGAAACGCUGUGGGCGGGAUGACGGCCUUAGGGGUGUAAACCGCUUUCGCUCAUGACGAAGCUUUGUGUGACGGUAGUGGGUAAGGAAGCAACGGCUAACUACGUG